RNAcentral lists this long non-coding RNA (218 nucleotides) under Mytilus galloprovincialis (Mediterranean mussel). Lineage: Eukaryota; Metazoa; Mollusca; Bivalvia; Mytilida; Mytilidae. The record is from RNAcentral.
GGGGGGGGGACAUAUGCUUUCCUGUCGAUGUUGAAAUGACAAGAAUUGGUUCCCGUUUGAUUUUUGGUUGUUAGAGUUGACAAAACUAAAAACAGGCAGAACGCAUUUCCUUUCAAUUCAACACCGACAGGACAGAAUAUGUGUCAUUUCAACUCAGAAAUAACAAUAACUCUACCAAACCAAAAACAACCAGGAGACCAUUCCUGUCGAUUCAACUC